GGCAACACGUAUUUACGAAGAUGUAAACAGUGCCAAUGGACUUUGUACCCGGCUAAUAAAUAAAUUUAAAAAAAAAUGUAAACAAAAAUGGAAUUAGCAACAGAGCAACUGGGGUCUGGGAGUUUUAAAAUUACACAUGUCAAAUGUUAGUAUAGUAUUUUAUGCUAGAAUUAUGUCUGUCAGUGGAAAUCAAGGACUGGGAGGCCGGUGCCUGCUUUACCGCUAGGGAAUUGUCAAUUGAUAGAGGCGAAAGUUUAACAGUUAACUUGUUUUAAUUUUUUAACUCGGUGCUAAAUGUUUAGCAAAAUAUAGAUAUGUAAUGAGAAACAAAGAUAUAAAGUAUGGACAAAUUCAAGAUCAAUGAAAUAACCAAUUGUUUGCUUAAUCAACACGACAAAAAGGAGCUAUGUGUCCUUUUAAAAAAUGAAGAAAUAUAUCGCUGUCGAAUCUGUACAAGAGGAUAUUUGAAAAAUGUUGACUAUAAAAAGCAUAUACUGUCACAUGUUACGAGUGCCUAUAUUAAAUUAAGACAGCAAAAAAUAUAUAGAUGCAAAUUAUGUACAGCUGGCUUCCUUAAAAGUGAUGAAAAAAAUUUACACUUACUCGAUCAUGCUAAGAAAAAUUUUAUUAAAAUACGUAAAGAAAAGGAAAUUGCAGAUAAACAUUAUUAUAAUAAAAAUAUAGUUAGAAAACAUGAAUGUCCAGAUUGUUGUAGAAAAUUUACUUCUAUUACUGUACUGGAAGAACAUUCAAAGCUGCAUAAGCCAUUUCCAUAUCCAUGUUUCUGUGGGAUUGCAUAUCUCAGAGAAAUUGAUUUCAUAGGCCACCAAAAGCUUAUCCACAGUAAUAACAAUAACCAAUCAAAACCAAAAACUGUUAAGGAAGAAUCACACAAAAAGACGCCAAUAGCAAAAACUAAAGCUAUUAAACAUAUUGCUAAGAAAAUGAAGAAAAAAAAUAAACAAACAAAUCUCAAAGUGGAGUGUUCAGUUUGCUGUAAAAUAGUUAAAAAAUAUUACCUACCUCGUCAUAUGGAUAUUCAUUCAGAUAACAAGCCAUUUAAAUGUAAUAUUUGCAAUCAAAGUUUUAGGCAAAACUGCGGCUUGUACAACCACAUGUCUGUACAUAAACCGAGACAGGAAUUUCCCUGCCAGUAUUGUGGUAAAGUAUUUAAAUGUAAAACCAAUAUGAUUAACCAUAUAAACAUACACACUGGUGUAAAACCUCACGUGUGUAAGUAUUGUAAUAAACCAUUUGCUGAUCCAUCUGCUUUAUUGAGGCAUGAACGAAUUCACACAAAGGAUUAUAAAUAUUUUUGUGAUAAAUGUGACAAAAAAUUCACAGAUAGUAGUGGUUUGAUUGGGCACAUAAAAAUACAUGGAGAAAAACAAUAUGCUUGUGAGAUAUGUAACAAGUCAUUUCUGUCCAAACAAAACUUUAUGAAACAUUUAAUAAUUCAUACUAAAGUAAAGAAAUUUGAAUGUGACUAUUGUAAUAGUAAGUUUUCAUUAAAACAAUAUCUUUUUCGACAUAUACAAAUGUCAUGUAAGGUCAGGAAAUUAAAGGAAUAAUUGUUUUGAGGAAUUUAAGAAACAAACCAACACUGAUCUGAUCACCUAUUUGAACAGAACAUUGUAUAUGAAACAUAAAAACGUGUUAUUCAACACACAGAAAUAGUAACUAAUGGACAAGUAAGACUUUGCUUACAAAUAUUUUAAGAUUUUUCAUUUCUUUAUUCUAUUGUUUAUAAGAAUUGACUGAUUAAAAUAAUUUAAAUAUAUAGUAUUUUUUUAUUCAGUGUUCAUAUUAAGUUAUUAAACAUGCGAUUUUCACCUCUGACGGCGUGCGUUCGAGUCUCGUUUUUUUCCAGUACAGAAAUUAUCUAAAGCUUUGGUCUGGUGAUCAUGACGCACAACGCUGCGGUAUGCGUUGCCGGACACUCAAUCAUAAUGGUAGCUGUACACACUCGGCGAGACACCCCGAGACAGGCCGAGGGCGAGAGUGUACAGUAGAGCUCUCGUCUCGCCUCGCUUCCUCGCAGUCGGUCGGUCGCCUGUCGGUUUUUUGCGCACGAGUCAAAGGGUCUCGCGAGUAAAACGAGAGCGACCUGUACACAUUCGUUCAAUCACUUGCUCGAUGACUGUGGUUAUUGUGGUUAUUAUGUGUUACAGCAGCGGUUUCCACGUCCAUUAUAAACGGUGUUUUAAAUACAAAUAACGUAACGAGUGUGUACAGGCUGCGCUCUUCUCUCGGUCCUCUCGGUCGAGACUCUCGGCGAGAGGCUCUCGCCGAGUGUGUACAGCCACCAUAAUAUGAAAAACGACGAGAAUGUUCUCUUGUUCCGUCGCAGUAUGCGUCAGCGGCGAGGGGCAAGCGCGGUGAAGUGGGGAGUUGUACUGCCGCACAGCGCGGCGUCAUUCUCGUUUCAACGGUGCGGUGUGCGUCACUGAGUCAAUAUGGAAUUUUUCGAAGACAAUUUAAUAGAAUUAGUUCGCAACUAUCCUUCUUUGUAUAAAAAUAAAGACAAAAAACAUACAAGUUUGUUGGUUAAAGAAAAUUGCUGGAGGGAGAUAGCUAAGAAGUUGAAUAAAACAGGGACGCUAAAUGCUGCGUCGUGACGCUGCGUUGCGGCGCAUACCGCAGCGUUGUGCUUCAUGAUAACCAGACCAAAGCGUAAAGCUGCGUAUAAAAAAAACGCGGCAAACCAUCGAACAUCGAAGCGCGCGACGGCCGCGAUCUAUGUGGACGCGAUCAAUGCCGCGCUCGUGCCGCGGGGCGAUCCGCUCUCUGUCGGUUUUUGAGACCGCACCAAAGGAGUUUCAACCGUUCGCUCGCUCGCAGUGGUGACGGUUGUAGUUUUGGUCAUUUGGCUCGCGCGGCUAUUACGUAAAAAUGGACAACGAAAAGUGCCGUUUACUAAUACUAGAUAAUAAAUUGUAUAGCGCUAAAGAUUUUUUUGUAGAACAGCAAAUCCUCCUAAUACCACAUUAAAUCGCCGAGGUGAUGGUGAUGCGUGGGUAGAAAUCAAAGCCGAAUGUAAAAAGCGAUGGCGUUCAUUGCGGGAUUCAUUCAUAAAACUGCAGCGGACUCACGGUGGACGCACGCGUUGGCCAUACCACAAUGCCAUGAGGUUCCUUUUACCACAUAUAGAACCGAAAUCUGAAACUUU
Molecule: RNA transcript, 3169 nt
Organism: Pieris rapae (cabbage white)
Lineage: Eukaryota; Metazoa; Arthropoda; Insecta; Lepidoptera; Pieridae
Gene name: transcription factor Adf-1
Exons: 6
Source: RefSeq, a predicted model, not a curated record